GUGAGGAAUAUUGGUCAAUGGGCGAGAGCCUGAACCAGCCAAAUCGCGUGAAGGAUGAAGGUAUUAUGUAUUGUAAACUUCUUUUAUCGGGGAAUAAAGUGCACCACGUGUGGUGUUUUGUAUGUACCCGAAGAAUAAGGAUCGGCUAACUCCGUGCCAGCAGCCGCGGUAAUACGGAGGAUCCAAGCGUUAUCCGGAUUUAUUGGGUUUAAAGGGUGCGUAGGCGGACUGUCAAGUCAGCGGUGAAAGUUCAUGGCUCAACCAUGGAAUUGCCGUUGAAACUGUCGGUCUUGAGUGUAGAUGAGGUAGGCGGAAUUCGUAGUGUAGCGGUGAAAUGCUUAGAUAUUACGAAGAACUCCAAUUGCGUAGGCAGCUUACCAGGCUACAACUGACGCUGAGGCACGAAGGUGCGGGGAUCAAACAGGAUUAGAAACCCGGGUAGUCC
RNAcentral lists this ribosomal RNA (445 nucleotides) under uncultured bacterium. RNAcentral describes it as "partial 16S ribosomal RNA". It matches the Rfam family "Bacterial small subunit ribosomal RNA", at positions 354 to 796 of the family's 1533-position model. The record is from RNAcentral.